AAGGCGAGGACGAAAGGCGUAGUAGAUAGGAAACAGCUUAAUAUUCCUGUACUUGGUGUUACUGCGAAGAGGGGACGGAGAAUGCUAUGUUGGCCAGGGGACGGUUGUCCCGGUUUAAGCGUGUAGGCUGGUUUUCCAGGCAAAUCCGGAAAAUCAAGGCUGAGUCGUGAUGACGAGGCACUACGGUGCUGAAGCAACAAAUGCCCUGCUUCCAGGAAAGACCUCUAAGCAUCAGGUUACAUCAAAUCGUACCCCACACCGACACAGGUGGCCAGGUAGAGUAUACCAAGGCGCUUGAGAUAACUCUGUUGAAGGAACUAGGCAAAAUGGUUCCGUCACUUCGGGAGAAGGCACGCUGUUAUGUAGGUGUAGUCCCUCGCGGAUGGAGCUGCAAUCAGUCGAAGAUACCAGCUGGCUGCACCUGUUUAUUAAAA
This 434-nucleotide ribosomal RNA is filed under the name Escherichia coli. Its description in RNAcentral is "partial 23S ribosomal RNA". It matches the Rfam family "Bacterial large subunit ribosomal RNA", at positions 1393 to 1812 of the family's 2925-position model. The record is from RNAcentral. Lineage: Bacteria; Pseudomonadati; Pseudomonadota; Gammaproteobacteria; Enterobacterales; Enterobacteriaceae.